RNAcentral lists this ribosomal RNA (95 nucleotides) under Gilliamella apis. RNAcentral's name for it is "partial 16S ribosomal RNA". It matches the Rfam family "Bacterial small subunit ribosomal RNA", at positions 1445 to 1533 of the family's 1533-position model. Lineage: Bacteria; Pseudomonadati; Pseudomonadota; Gammaproteobacteria; Orbales; Orbaceae. The record is from RNAcentral.
GGGGGGCGUUUACCACGGUGUGGUCCAUGACUGGGGUGAAGUCGUAACAAGGUAACCGUAGGGGAACCUGCGGUUGGAUCACCUCCUUACGAAGA